This 6848-nucleotide long non-coding RNA is filed under the name Vigna radiata. RNAcentral describes it as "long non-coding RNA (VRAD_LNC000331)". Lineage: Eukaryota; Viridiplantae; Streptophyta; Magnoliopsida; Fabales; Fabaceae. The record is from RNAcentral.
AAGACAUGUGUAUGCAGCUGAGAGGGUCGAUCGGUUUUGACGGUGGAAUAUAAACAAAAGUUUUAAAAUUUAGUGCCACUCUCUCCAUGCAACUCUUCUCUCCAAACUUCUGAGUUUUAUUUUCUCCUGCUUCUCUCUACAAAUUUUCUUUAGAAUUCCACUUAUUCAAGCCGUUUUGUUCUCUCAACAGUUCAAAUUUGAGUGUUUCUGCAGUUUGGAGCUGUUGAAUCUUUUCUCAGUUCCUGGUUUAAUCAUUGGUAAGUGGUUUUUCUUGCCUUGGUGUUUUUUGCACGUUUCAGUUGCAUGCAAGUUGUGUGUCCUUUUCUUAGUUUUGGUUCGGUGGAUAGUGUUUUCUCACCAAUCCAAAGAUUUGUAGGCUGUGUUUGUGCUUGUGGGAUAGCCAAUUCAACAAAGGUUUUCCUUUGGUCCAACUAUUUUAAGGUAAGGGAAGCUAAAUAAUUUAACUUGUAUUGAUAUGUUUAAAAUGAAUUGUAUGAUUGAUUGAAAUGCAUGUUGAAAUUUUGCUUUCAAUUGAAUGUGAGGACCAAACUCUGUGAACUGGAAUUGGGGAGGAUUAUGUAGAAAAAGUGUUCGGUCAGUGUCAAUUUGAGAAAGGGAGAGGGUGAAAAUGAGAGUUUAAGGUUGGGAGUGAGUUCUGACAGUAAGGUGAGUUUGAACAAGUGUAUUGUGACCUGUUAGAACCAUUAAGUUGGCCAAAAAUGUAUAAAAGUGGUAAAUCUGAUUUUGGAUUAUGGAAUUGAGUUUUAUACAUAUUUCUGGGUGAGUUUUGGUGUGAAAUUUCGUAAAGGAAGGUUAGAAAUGUUUAGGCACCCUUAGAUAGGUUUGAAUUGGUGUAGGAAUCAUGUUUGGAAGAUUAGAAGUUAAGAAAAAUAUCUUGUUUCGAUCAGUUGGGCGUUAUUCAUAAUUCUCCAUAUACAGAACUAUACAGAACGUCGAGCGCUUACUGUUGACCGCUUGAUCUUGUUCUAUGAUUGGUCAUUAACUGGGUUCGGUCUCCUUGGAGUCCUACCAGUUCAUGAUCAUUCGGUCUUAGAAGGGUGGUUUCUUAAUAGUGCUUGGUCUUAUACUACUAGCAUUUAGUUUAGUAUUAGUGUUCGGUCUUAUGCUAACACUGGUGUUAGUGUUAGUGCUCGGUCUUAUACUGACAAUUAUGCUAGUGUUAGUACUUGGUCUUAUAUUAGCAGUUAUGCUAGUGUUAGCACUCAGUCUUAUACUAGCAUUCUGUUUAAUCUUAGUAUUCAAAAUAUUCUUUCUAACCCUUUUAACUUCAUAUGUACCUUCAUGUGUGACCUCAAGAACAUCUCACAUUUCCUUGACUUUUUCACAAACAAAAACUCUAUAGAAUUCAUCAAGGGUUAAUGAAGAGGAAAAUAUAUUUUUGACCCUUACAUCAUAAUGUGCUCUUUUAUUUUCAUCAGGUGUCUAUUGUGAAAAUUCAUUAGGCAUAGUUUUUCCAUUCUCAAUCUUUGUAGGUUGAAAAGGUCUAUUAACAAUAGCAUCCCAUACAUCUUUGUCCAUUGAUUCCAAGAAAAUUUUCAUUCUAAUUUUCCAAAAUAGGUAAUUUUCUCCAACAAACAUAGGUGGUUUUUUAUGGAAGCCCCUUCAACAAAACUUUGAUAUAUAUUGGCCAUACAAGAUCUUUAGUCGACUAAUACUCAAUUAACUAGCUUUGGUACCAAUUGUUAAAUUGAAAUGAUACACAAUGGAUGGAUAGUAAAUGGAUUUUUUUAUUUUUGUGGAUCAAGUAACAGGUAAGUAUUAUCCGUAUAUGACCCGACUCGUUGUUAUCUCUAAUAAACAUGUCAAUUUGAAGGUGCAGGGAGAAAACAAGGAGGUGAAGAAAGAAGCUCCCUAGUCUGAAUCGGUUCUGUAUGUAUAUGCGAGAACCGAUAAUGGGUGGUUUGUGAUAGCAAAGGAAUCUGUUCUCGUGAGUGAAUUGAUUUUGCAUGUCAGGGAAUUGAUUCUAGCACGAGUGAAAUUGAUUCUAAAACCUUAGGGAUCAGUUCUAGUUAGGAAGAAACUAAUUCUCCCCCUUAAAAUCUAUUUUUUUAACGCCCUUUGUGUGUAUUAGUUUGUAGGUACUAAUCAUCAACAUCUGUUUUUAAAUUAAUUUUAACUCAAAAUGUUUUUUUUUAUAUUACUUUAAACUAUAAGGAUAAAUGUAUAAUCUUUUAGUUUUAUCUAUUAAAAUCCUUUUUCUUUAUCUAUCACACCUAUAAAAUCUUUUACAAACUUUUCUUUUAAAUCUAUUAACUUUCUUUUUUCCAUCUUUCAAAAUAAACACCACAAUCUCUUCAUACUCAUUCAUUCCCUCUCUCUCUCAAAUCCAUCCUUAAAAAUGAACAUAUCAAAUUCAAUCAAUUUGUAUUUAACCUUUUAUGAAAAUAAAUUUGAAGAUAAAGCUUCAUUUUUAAUAGUGCCCCUAGAAAUGAGGCACUUUUGAAAUAAAUUGAUUAUUCUCAAAUAAAAGUUAUAAGUAUGAAAGGAAGGUCCAAAAUCACGUUACAAAUAUUGCAGCUUGAAGAAUAUCUACAUUUCUGUUAAUGAACUGUUCUGAACACAGGCGGCAAGACUUCGUAAUUUUCUUCCUCCGUUAAAAAUAAAGUGUGAACUUUUCAUAUUACCAAAUGUCGAAUGCAACUAGUAUAUAUAUUUUGGAAAAUGUAUUCCUGAACAAUAUAAACUUGCUGAGGAAUAACAGAUAAACACCUCAUACUAAAUGAUACUCAAACGACACGUGGUUGAGAAAAAAUAAAAUGAGUAUUGUAUUAAUAUUAUAGAAAAGAGAUACAAAGAAAUUAUAAAUAUUACUUACAUGUUUAAAAAUAAAAAAUGCUUCUGUAUCACUGUUCAAACUUGCUUUUGGAGUUGAAACACACAGAAUGUCUUUUUUAAAAAGAAAGACAUGGCAUAGUGAAAAUCUUAUUUUUAAAACAUGAAUAUUAUAAAGACCUAAGUGUUAAGAAUAAGAAAUGUUUAAUUAUAUAAUUCAAUUGAUACCCAAAAGAACUAUAAAAUGUAUGUCAUAUAAAAUCUUGCUGUUGAAGCAAAACUUGCAAAAGGGUCUCUUAAAAUGAUAUGGUAUGGUGGAAUCCAAUUAGAGAAAAAUAAAAUUUCAUAAGAAAAGCUUAUAAGAUCCUUGUAGAUACGCUUAAAACACUUUUAUGGGAAUUGUAGGAAGAAGGAGUCUUUGAACAUAAAUCAUAUUUGUGGCCAACAGAAAAUGUAUAACAAAUUACUAGAAUAACCCAACAUCCAACCAGCAGGUUCAUACAACAAGAGGGUGUCAUCAGAAAGCAGAAAAAAGAAAACAUAAAUACUGCUAAAAAUGGAAUAUCCAAUAUUCAUACUGAUAUGAUGGAGCUUUUAUGCCUAAAAUAUCUUAAUAAUGGGUGGGGUAUAAAGAAGGUAGUAAAGAUUUCUCAAUAGAGAAACAUUGUCACUGAAGAAAUUUCUGAACAGAAAAUCUAAUUCAUCCAAUACCAUGAUAUCCAACAAUGGAGAUUUCACACCAUCUUUGAAGCAAGGUUCAAGUGCUCAUGGAACUAUUACAAAAAGGGGCUGCAUGGAAAACAAAGUAUAUCAGUUAGAGCAAUGAAGCAUGUAGUUUCUAGACAAACAUGCAUGUGUGCACACACACAGAUGUAGAGAGAGAAUACCGUUUCUAAACUGACUGGUUUGCUAUCCUCAAUCAAUAUUUCAGCUAUUGUUCCUGACUGAUCAGCCUGCCACCAUGUAAUGAAAAUAACCAAUAAAUUAGAGGAUUUCGUUUCUGGCUAAUAGAAACUGUUUCUGAAGGAGAAUCGUUAUAUUAGCAAAAUGUGAAUUCAAUAGGCCCUUAGAGGGUCAUGUUUCCUCCAUGUUGAGAAAUGUUCAUAACAAAACACUCUGGAAUGACUCUUCCAUUGUAUUACUUUACUAAUUUCUCCACUGCCACAUAGUUUACUUAUAUCCUAAUCCAGAUUUUCUGUUAGCCUGUUGUUAUUGUUCCUCUGGUGUGCUUUCAAAAUAUACUGAUUUUAAUAUAUGAAAAGAGUUUAAUAUAUUUUAAAAUAUCAAAAUUAAUGCAAACCAAUGUAUUUUAAAGACUCAGCAGAGGAACAGCACAGAAAACAUGGCAGAGAAUCCAAAUUCCUUCAUACCACUCCUAGUGUAAUGUAUGCAGGGUGUAUUGCAUUAGGAUUUUAAAGGUUUUAAAAGACUCUUUUUAUAAGAGAUUUGAAUUCUGUUCUGUUUACUGUUAAGAACAGUCUUCACUAAAUCUUAAUACGAUUAAAAUAAAAUAAAAAAGCUAGUAAACCAGACAAGCAUGUUUUCCAUUCUUUUUUCAUAGUUUUAGUCGGUUUUUGUUUCGAUGAUAGAUUGAGUAAUAAAAGUAAUGAAUGUUUGGAAUUUAUUAAAUAGGACCUCUCUAGUUUAAAGAAAAGAGAAGAGUAUCUAAAAUCAUAAAAAAGUCUGAUGAUAUUAAAUAAAACCUUUUAAAUGAUGUAAAUAAAUUUUGUGGCAUUAAGUUAGGAUAAUUAGGAUUUUUCAAAUGAUUAAUGAGUUAACUGUGACUAGAGAGCUAAAACAGAAACAUAUUUGAGAAGCUCAACCAGGUCUGUGCUUGUAGAUUUAUUAACUGCCAGAUUUUUGUAUCAAAGAUUUCUGUACAGUACUAUGGGAAAACAUAAAGUAAACAACACAGUGAGAGAAAAAAUGUAAUGAUAUACUAGAACAAACAGGAAAACAAAUGAAUAUACCUCAAUUUCAUUCAUCAGUUUCAUAGCCUCAAUAAUGCAAAUAACCUGCCCUUUCUUCACUUUAUCACCCACCUGAAGCAACAGCAGAAAUAGUUAAUCUCUUCAUUGAUUAACUUAGCAAUCAAAGUAAUACUCAGUUUCAUGAAUUUUCCUUUGCAAAUUGACACCUCAAGAGAAAAAAGAGUGGCUUUUAAAAUGUGUAUGUCUACAAACCUUGACAAAUGGAGGUUCACCAGGUGCUGGACUCCUGUAGAAAGUUCCUGCCAUCGGACUUUUCAGUGGUGGGUGAGAAGAUGAGCUUGCUUUUGCAGGGGAAGGCAAUGCAGGCAGUGCUUUCUGGGGGGGAGAGGUAGUAGGAGCAGCAGCUGGUGCUACCGGUGGUGGUGGAAAUGCGGCAUAUAUAGGAGGUGGUGAUACUGGCGCUGCAACUGGUGGAGGCUGCACUGCUUCCUUUUUUCUUAUCAUGAGCUCAUAGUCUGAUUGCUUAAGUUGAAGUUCCACAAUAUCUCUUGAAUCAACGAGUCUAGCCAUGGAAAUGGUAUUAAAUGAAAUAGAGGAAAAUAAGGCAUACACUUGCAUUAGACAUGAUAAAUACAAAAGAAUAGGAGAUUGUAUGCAAAAUGGAGUUCAGAUUCUCUGCUAGGUUUUUUGGUGCUAUCCUCUUGUGAGCAUUAAAAAUACAGUGAUGUUGGUACAUUAAAAUUAUUUUUAAUAUGUUCUUAAACAUCAAAAUUAGUGUCCAUCAGUGUUAUCCGAAUUCAAAAUGAAUCUACUUAAUCUUACUUUACAAGGUCUGCAACUUGAGACAUGAAUGCAGUAACUGAAGCUUCAUCUGCAAUAGUGCCACCAGACUGUUUUCCCUUAGGCACUUCUUUUUCUUUUGAUGAAGCAACAUCAGGUCCUUUGACCGCUACCGGGGCAGAAUUAGAAUUAGAAUUUUCGACUUUAGCAGCCUACAGUAUGCAAAGCAGGGUAACUUAUGGUGAAUUUUCUGAAUCUAAUCAAGGACACGUUUGAACAGGGUGAUGAAGUUUCAUUCAGAAUAAAACUCAAUGUGAACUAAUAACACAGAAAACAAAAGGCUAAGUGUAAACUGACCUUCAGAACAGAAUAUUGCUUCCUGUUAGAACACUGCAAGAGACAACAAAUAAUAAUAUGAAUUGACUAGUUAUAAUUUCUCCAAUUUUAAUCACAUUGAAAACAAAUGGCAGAUCAGCUAACAUAACAAGCACAACAACUUGAAUGCAUUUUAGUUGCAGUUGUGCUUCAUUCAGAGACAUCAGUAACAAUGAAAAUGCUUCUACAAGUGAGAACAUGCUGAAAAACUUCGGUGUAGUUCCCACGUAGGAAAAUCAAGUAUGAGAUGAGUAUUGUGAGAAUAAUAAAAAAAUUAAUAGGCAUCACAAACUAUUAAUAUUUACCAUGCUUCAACAUAUAAAAUACCGUAUAUUGCUGAAAAGACUGUUCUCAAAACAUUGAUCACCCACAACAAAAUUGUGUCUAACAAAAAGUUGUUACAUAUUUCUGAUUAUUGUCUUAACUUAGACCAUUUAUGCUCAAUACUAGAUUCAAUAUGCUGAUUCAGAAAAUUUUAGGAAAAUCAUUGAUGAAGGUACCGUGAUGAAGCUUCCGUUACAUCGUUAUCACUAAAAUAAAUCAAUUGAGCAAAAUAGCCAGAGAAUAAAUAUUUUUCUUGUGAUUACAUAAUUUGUCAUCCUUAAAUCAUUGAUAAAGGUAUCAUUUCUCCAUUUACAACUAAAAUCAAUUGAUCAAAACAUUAACACAAUCACAGAAGAAAUACUAUUUUUCUUUUGUCGAUUGCAUAACGUGUCAUCCUUAAAACAUUACAUGCUCAAUAAACAGAAAUUCACAGGCAAAAGAAUUAUCUCUCUCUCUCUCUCUCUCUCUCUCUCUCUCUCUCUCGUUCUUUUAUGGAUAUAUAUAGAUGUGAAAACUCGUACCUGAAUUCUAGAUGAUGCAGAUUCAGCAGACAAAGGACUGAAUGAUAGAAAAGGCUUGAAGCUGAACCCACUUUGAAAGGGAACCUGUUGGGAUUUCAACCCCAGAGAGGAAAAAGAAGUAGAA